This 494-nucleotide ribosomal RNA is filed under the name Kodamaea ohmeri. RNAcentral describes it as "eukaryotic LSU rRNA". It matches the Rfam family "Eukaryotic large subunit ribosomal RNA", at positions 68 to 655 of the family's 3401-position model. Lineage: Eukaryota; Fungi; Ascomycota; Pichiomycetes; Serinales; Debaryomycetaceae. The record is from RNAcentral.
ACAGGGAUUGCCUCAGUAACGGCGAGUGAAGCGGCAAAAGCUCAAAUUUGAAAUCCCCCCGGGGAGUUGUAAUUUGAAGAUUGCGUCUUGGAGGCGACCGUGUCUAUGUUCCUUGGAACAGGACGUCACAGAGGGUGAGAAUCCCGUGCGGCACGGCCCCCGGCUCCUUAUAAGGCGCUCUCGACGAGUCGAGUUGUUUGGGAAUGCAGCUCAAAGUGGGUGGUAAAUUCCAUCUAAAGCUAAAUACAGGCGAGAGACCGAUAGCGAACAAGUACAGUGAUGGAAAGAUGAAAAGCACUUUGAAAAGAGAGUGAAACAGCACGUGAAAUUGUUGAAAGGGAAGGGCAUGCCGUCAGAUUGUCAGUGUGGGUAAGAAGCGGGGUACAAAGACUGUGGAACGUGGCCCUCGGGUGUUAUAGCCGCAGUUCAUGCCCCGUCUCUUUCCGAGGCCUGCUUUGAGGACACCGACGUAAUGACGGUACGCCGCCCGUCUU